UACAGAGGUCCCAAGCGUUGUCCGGAUUCAUUGGGCGUAAAGGGUGCGUAGGUGGCGCCGUAAGUCGGGUGUGAAAUUUCGGAGCUUAACUCCGAAACUGCAUUCGAUACUGCGGUGCUUGAGGACUGGAGAGGAGACUGGAAUUCAUGGUGUAGCAGUGAAAUGCGUAGAUAUCGUAAGGAAGACCAGUGGCGAAGGCGGGUCUCUGGACAGUUCCUGACGCUGAGGGACGAAAGCUAGGGGAGCAAACGGG
This 253-nucleotide ribosomal RNA is filed under the name uncultured bacterium. Its description in RNAcentral is "partial 16S ribosomal RNA". It matches the Rfam family "Bacterial small subunit ribosomal RNA", at positions 524 to 776 of the family's 1533-position model. The record is from RNAcentral.